RNAcentral lists this long non-coding RNA (790 nucleotides) under Homo sapiens (human). Its description in RNAcentral is "non-protein coding SLC14A2-AS1:11". The record is from RNAcentral. Lineage: Eukaryota; Metazoa; Chordata; Mammalia; Primates; Hominidae.
GAGUGCACUUUAGCCAUAGCAAGAGCAAGAUCAGAGAGAAAUAAGGACUUAUGACCAUUAGACCAGGAGACAGGAAGCGAUGGUUCUGGAAGGGGCUCUGUUACUAACUUUGGAAUUCAACUGUCCAGAUAGAAAGGUGGACAUGGAAAAAUUGGGCUUUGCAAAUGGUCACCCAAUUCUUGCCUUCCUGGUCUCCAGAUCACCCUUCCUAUACCGCCACUCUGGAGAAAGAAGUACAGAACGCUAACAAGAGGAGAUGAGCAUGUGAUUAUUGUUACCACUUGUCUGGAAGCAACCAGAAUGGAGUGGGGAAGACUCAAGGAGGAGAUCUUCACAGGACUCACCUCUCAUCACAGCUCCCGUGUGGUUGUAAUCACCCCAGAGGGAAAAAUAAUUUCGGUUUUUUAUGGUUUAAUUAUUGGUGAUAGCAGCUGUUUUGAAGACACAAACACAGAAGCAAGUUCUAGAACAUACUCACAGUUUCCUUGGUCACAGUGUUGUCAGUGGUUCUAUAAAGGUCUUAUGAAUCUCUACUUAGUUGACCACAAGUAGUAAGCAAGAAACAAUCCUGUAAAGAGAAUGGAGGUCAGAAUAAAGAAGCCUUGAGGGUUUAAAUCGCUUCUUGAAAAGGUAAUAAUAUUUACUCUUUUAAAAAUUAUAAACAAUACAUGUUCCUUUUACAGAAAAAAAAGAAAAAAAUAAGGAAACAGGACAUAAAACUCAUCUGUUAUUCCACCAUCUAGAUACAACUACUGUUAACCCAGGAACACUUAAAGAGUGUUUCAUGAAU